UACAGAGACUGCAAGCGUUAUUCGGAUUCACUGGGCGUAAAGGGUGCGCAGGCGGUCGGGUGUGUCAGAUGUGAAAUCCCGAGGCUUAACCUCGGAACUGCGUCUGAAACUACUCGGCUAGAGUAUUGGAGAGGGUAGCGGAAUUCACGGUGUAGCAGUGAAAUGCGUAGAUAUCGUGAGGAACACCAGAGGCGAAGGCGGCUACCUGGACAAUUACUGACGCUCAGGCACGAAAGCGUGGGGAGCAAAAGGG
Molecule: ribosomal RNA, 253 nt
Filed under: uncultured bacterium
Lineage: Bacteria
Description: partial 16S ribosomal RNA
Rfam family: Bacterial small subunit ribosomal RNA
Source: RNAcentral